CAAGAGAUCUUUUCGCAGUUGCUUGACAAUGGAUAGAAAGGCAAAUUCUAGUUGCUACACGGGGUAAGUAUAUCGCCACGUCUGGUUUAUAAAAAGAUUGCGGCACUCACAUUUGUUAACAAUUGAACAAACCUGUUAAAAAUAGAGCUUGUUGGCAAGAUGGUUGGGCGCGUGUGAUGCAAUGAAACCGCACUGUCCGAAAAAAACUACUUAAGUUGACGUUGCACAGUAACGAAAAAAAACUGAAUUAGUUUACUUUACUGGCACGUGCCAUCUACUAGCAAGAGGUUAGCAUAUCAUCACAUAUGGAUUAUAAAAAGAUUAUUACACUAACAAUUUCAAUAAUGUGAUAUGAUCAGCCAUGACAAACGUCUGGUCACGUUUAUGAACCUCGAAUAAUGAAGUAAGAUCUGUUCAUGAGUGAAAUUCCUGCGUUUGGGUUUAUUGUUUACCCGAGGCAAAUACUUUAAUCAUGGUUUCCCCCUUAAAUUGAGGAUUGCGAAAGGAAACGAAUUCUGUUGUAGCUAAUAGUAAAAUUCAAAUACUGUUUUGAACAUUCUUGAGUUGAGCAUCAUUUUUCACGUUCCUGAGGGUUUCUUGAUGUCUUCGUGUCUAGACGGUAAUAGAAGGUCAGCCAGGGCAUCGAUUUGACACACGCUACGUGCUUAAAAUUAUUGGGAAUCGAGAACAGGAUGUGUUUUCCCGGGACAAAAACAGUAAAUUCCCGUCAAUUCUUACCGACGUGAGGAAAUCAUAUCACGACCACACUCCAACAUCUCGAAGAGCAUGCGCUCUCCUCACCUGAUUGGCGUGGUUAGGUAGACAAGCUACGAAAGGUAUCGAUAAUUACCUUGCAGCACGCGACUUCAAUUGACUCUAAGAUUCCUCUUCAAAGUGAAGUGAGACAGAUGCUGCCAGAAAGGAAAAUCGGCAGACAGAACGAGGAAACCCUCUUAGAUUUUGUUCACAAGGAGAAUCCGAACGAAGAUUGGUUGUAUUUGGAAACAGAAGUUGGUACGAGACAUCAGGAAGUGAUACAUUGGCACCUGAAGGCGGAAAGCUUGUAGAAAGCACUAACCAAGAAUUCCUCUUGACCCUGUUGGCAUUGCUGAGCCUCUUGGUUGUGUUUGUAUGGCUAUCAUGUUGUCAGUGCGAGAUGAAAAUCUGAAACU
RNAcentral lists this long non-coding RNA (1172 nucleotides) under Pocillopora damicornis (cauliflower coral). RNAcentral describes it as "uncharacterized LOC113681745, transcript variant X2". Lineage: Eukaryota; Metazoa; Cnidaria; Anthozoa; Scleractinia; Pocilloporidae. The record is from RNAcentral.